AGGGAUGUGGAUAGCUAUCAUAGGGAGUAUAUGGAACUAGAGAAAUGGUAUUUUGUUUAGAAAGCUAAAGGUCGAUGGGAAGGAAACCUCUGUAUGACUCGGAUUAGAACUUGGACAUGGAUAAGGAGAGUGAUUCUUCCGUUGCACCAAUUAUAUGUAGUCACAUUUAGGAAAUAAAAUAGAUAGCAUAAUAAAUCUGGUAAAAGCAAGAUUGCACAUGGAUAGUAUAAUAAAAUAAAAUGUGUAGGGCAACCUCUACUUGUGGUUAAACAAUACACAAAAUG
Molecule: long non-coding RNA, 284 nt
Filed under: Vigna radiata
Lineage: Eukaryota; Viridiplantae; Streptophyta; Magnoliopsida; Fabales; Fabaceae
Description: long non-coding RNA (VRAD_LNC017377)
Source: RNAcentral